AACAAUCUGGGGAGGUUGGACAACGGUCCAGUUCUCUAACGUCCCAGCAUAUGGCGUUGGCACAUCCUGUGAGGACAGACAUAUGAUUGGGGCAUCGAGAUAGUCAUGGAAGUUCUCGGUUAUAGCAGCUGUCAAGCUGGCACCAAUACCUCCUGUACGCAUACAUUCCUCGACAAUGAGGACGCGAUGAGUCUUCUUCACUGAAUUCCCGAUGGUGUGAAGGUCAAACGGUUUCAGUGACCUGAUAUCAAUGACCUCGGGAUCAUAA
RNAcentral lists this unclassified non-coding RNA (268 nucleotides) under Hevea brasiliensis (rubber tree). The record is from RNAcentral. Lineage: Eukaryota; Viridiplantae; Streptophyta; Magnoliopsida; Malpighiales; Euphorbiaceae.